GACGAACGCUGGCGGCGUGCUUAACACAUGCAAGUCGAACGGAAAGGCCCUGCUUUUGUGGGGUGCUCGAGUGGCGAACGGGUGAGUAACACGUGAGUAACCUGCCCUUGACUUUGGGAUAACUUCAGGAAACUGGGGCUAAUACCGGAUAGGAGCUCCUGCUGCAUGGUGGGGGUUGGAAAGUUUCGGCGGUUGGGGAUGGACUCGCGGCUUAUCAGCUUGUUGGUGGGGUAGUGGCUUACCAAGGCUUUGACGGGUAGCCGGCCUGAGCGGGUGACCGGCCACAUUGGGACUAAGAUACGGCCCAGACUCCUACGGGAGGCAGCAGUGGGGAAUAUUGCACAAUGGGCGGAAGCCUGAUGCAGCAACGCCGCGUGCGGGAUGACGGCCUUCGGGUUGUAAACCGCUUUCGCCUGUGACGAAGCGUGAGUGACGGUAAUGGGUAAAGAAGCACCGGCUAACUACGUG
RNAcentral lists this ribosomal RNA (468 nucleotides) under uncultured bacterium. RNAcentral's name for it is "partial 16S ribosomal RNA". It matches the Rfam family "Bacterial small subunit ribosomal RNA", at positions 28 to 507 of the family's 1533-position model. The record is from RNAcentral.